CAAGAUUUCUACUGGCCUCAGACCCUGCACACUGUUGCAGGCCUCGCUGAGCCACUGCGGCUGAGUCCUCAGCGGCCUCCAGCAGAGAGCUAGCUGCAUCUUUGGGGACAGCAGGACAGCGGGGAAGCAGCGAACAGCGCGCGAGAGAGCGGCCAACAGUGGGGAUGCGAGCACUAGGCAGGCUCCAGACACCUAAAUCGGGGGCGGAGGUAGUUUUCAAGACAUG
Long non-coding RNA from Grammomys surdaster, 226 nucleotides. RefSeq lists it as uncharacterized. NCBI's taxonomy places the organism in Eukaryota, Metazoa, Chordata, Mammalia, Rodentia, Muridae. The record is from RefSeq and is a predicted model, not a curated record. The transcript is spliced from 3 exons.